RNAcentral lists this ribosomal RNA (497 nucleotides) under uncultured bacterium. RNAcentral's name for it is "partial 16S ribosomal RNA". It matches the Rfam family "Bacterial small subunit ribosomal RNA", at positions 28 to 507 of the family's 1533-position model. The record is from RNAcentral.
GAUGAACGCUGGCGGCGUGCCUAAUACAUGCAAGUCGAGCGAACGGACGAGAAGCUUGCUUCUCUGAUGUUAUCGGCGGACGGGUGAGUAACACGUGGAUAACCUACCUAUAAGACUGGGAUAACUUCGGGAAACCGGAGCUAAUACCGGAUAAUAUUUUGAACCGCAUGGUUCAAAAGUGAAAGACGGUCUUGCUGUCACUUAUAGAUGGAUCCGCGCUGCAUUAGCUAGUUGGUAAGGUAACGGCUUACCAAGGCAACGAUGCAUAGCCGACCUGAGAGGGUGAUCGGCCACACUGGAACUGAGACACGGUCCAGACUCCUACGGGAGGCAGCAGUAGGGAAUCUUCCGCAAUGGGCGAAAGCCUGACGGAGCAACGCCGCGUGAGUGAUAAAGGUCUUCGGAUCGUAAAACUCUGUUAUUAGGGAAGAACAUAUGUGUAAGUAACUGUGCACAUCUUGACGGUACCUAAUCAGAAAGCCACGGCUAACUACGUG